UGCAAGUCGAACGAGUUCUGAUUAUUGAAAGGUGCUUGCAUCUUGAUUUAAUUUUGAACGAGUGGCGGACGGGUGAGUAACACGUGGGUAACCUGCCCUUAAGUGGGGGAUAACAUUUGGAAACAGAUGCUAAUACCGCAUAAAUCCAAGAACCGCAUGGUUCUUGGCUGAAAGAUGGCGUAAGCUAUCGCUUUUGGAUGGACCCGCGGCGUAUUAGCUAGUUGGUGAGGUAACGGCUCACCAAGGCAAUGAUACGUAGCCGAACUGAGAGGUUGAUCGGCCACAUUGGGACUGAGACACGGCCCAAACUCCUACGGGAGGCAGCAGUAGGGAAUCUUCCACAAUGGACGCAAGUCUGAUGGAGCAACGCCGCGUGAGUGAAGAAGGCUUUCGGGUCGUAAAACUCUGUUGUUGGAGAAGAAUGGUCGGCAGAGUAACUGUUGUCGGCGUGACGGUAUCCAACCAGAAAGCCACGGCUAACUACGUGCCAGCAGCCGCGGUAAUACGUAGGUGGCAAGCGUUAUCCGGAUUUAUUGGGCGUAAAGCGAGCGCAGGCGGUUUUUUAAGUCUGAUGUGAAAGCCCUCGGCUUAACCGAGGAAGUGCAUCGGAAACUGGGAAACUUGAGUGCAGAAGAGGACAGUGGAACUCCAUGUGUAGCGGUGAAAAUGCGUAGAUAUAUGGAAGAACACCAGUGGCGAAGGCGGCUGUCUGGUCUGUAACUGACGCUGAGGCUCGAAAGCAUGGGUAGCGAACAGGAUUAGAUACCCUGGUAGUCCAUGCCGUAAACGAUGAAUGCUAGGUGUUGGAGGGUUUCCGCCCUUCAGUGCCGCAGCUAACGCAUUAAGCAUUCCGCCUGGGGAGUACGACCGCAAGGUUGAAACUCAAAGGAAUUGACGGGGGCCCGCACAAGCGGUGGAGCAUGUGGUUUAAUUCGAAGCAACGCGAAGAACCUUACCAGGUCUUGACAUCUUUUGAUCACCUGAGAGAUCAGGUUUCCCCUUCGGGGGCAAAAUGACAGGUGGUGCAUGGUUGUCGUCAGCUCGUGUCGUGAGAUGUUGGGUUAAGUCCCGCAACGAGCGCAACCCUUAUGACUAGUUGCCAGCAUUUAGUUGGGCACUCUAGUAAGACUGCCGGUGACAAACCGGAGGAAGGUGGGGAUGACGUCAAAUCAUCAUGCCCCUUAUGACCUGGGCUACACACGUGCUACAAUGGAUGGUACAACGAGUUGCGAGACCGCGAGGUCAAGCUAAUCUCUUAAAGCCAUUCUCAGUUCGGACUGUAGGCUGCAACUCGCCUACACGAAGUCGGAAUCGCUAGUAAUCGCGGAUCAGCACGCCGCGGUGAAUACGUUCCCGGGCCUUGUACACACCGCCCGUCACACCAUGAGAGUUUGUAACACCCGAAGCCGGUGGCGUAACCCUUUUAGGGAGCGAGCCGUCU
This 1441-nucleotide ribosomal RNA is filed under the name Lacticaseibacillus rhamnosus. RNAcentral describes it as "bacterial SSU rRNA". It matches the Rfam family "Bacterial small subunit ribosomal RNA". Lineage: Bacteria; Bacillati; Bacillota; Bacilli; Lactobacillales; Lactobacillaceae. The record is from RNAcentral.